AUACGUAGGUGGCAAGCGUUGUCCGGAAUUAUUGGGCGUAAAGCGCGCGCAGGUGGUUCCUUAAGUCUGAUGUGAAAGCCCCCGGCUCAACCGGGGAGGGUCAUUGGAAACUGGGGAACUUGAGUGCAGAAGAGGAUAGUGGAAUUCCAAGUGUAGCGGUGAAAUGCGUAGAGAUUUGGAGGAACACCAGUGGCGAAGGCGACUGUCUGGUCUGUAACUGACACUGAGGCGCGAAAGCGUGGGGAGCAAACAGGAUUAGAUACCCUGGUAGUCCACGCCGUAAACGAUGAGUGCUAAGUGUUGGGGGGUUUCCGCCCCUCAGUGCUGAAGCUAACGCAUUAAGCACUCCGCCUGGGGAGUACGGUCGCAAGACUGAAAAUCAAAGGAAUUGACGGG
This 396-nucleotide ribosomal RNA is filed under the name uncultured bacterium. RNAcentral describes it as "partial 16S ribosomal RNA". It matches the Rfam family "Bacterial small subunit ribosomal RNA", at positions 523 to 917 of the family's 1533-position model. The record is from RNAcentral.